GAAAAUUACUUUUAUCCUGAGAUAAUCACACAAUACUAGUCCCUUCUUCAAGAUACAUUAGUCAAACAGUCAGAUCAUAGUCUCGGAGAACAAACAAGACGUAUGGUCACUACUUACAUCACAUAAUCAUCAUUCAACCAUGAUUUUAUAAGAUGAUAUUUAUGAUUAAACUCUUGGGUCUGACCCAUGCUGCAUUUUCUCACAAUAGCUCCUUUUUCAAGAUGCCGAGACAAUCGAACACACGAGAUGGCCGACAAAUCGAAGGCAUGUCAACAAAUCCAGCAACUUGCAUCCAAUAUACGCCCGCGACGCCCAAACAAUCGAAGGCGCAAAGAAACGUCCACCAAAUUGAAGACACAACAUCAACACCAGGUAAUAUCCACAUGCAAUUCCUCACAUGUGUGUCGGCAUUUUGAUCUCAGCUCAACCUUCCUUCUAAUAUUCUAUGUCAAAACUCUUCUGAUACUAAACUGUAAAGCAUGUUUUUAAUGCAUCCUGACACUACCAUGACACCUAUUGAACAAUUGUUGAUUUAUAGUGCCGUCAUACCAGAUAAAUGUACUUUAUGUGACACCUUAUUAGUCUCUUCAUCAUAUCUCCAAAUGCACUUUCAUGUCUGCAAUGGCAAAACAUUAUUAAGUACUCCCUCUGUAACUUAAUAUAAGACAUUUUUUGAUAGUGUCAAAAAAACGUCUCAUUAAGUUAUCGAGGGAGUACAACAUAAAGCAUAGUACAUGAUACUAUAUUAAGAAAACUCUAUACGUCACUGACAAAAUCACAUUUGCAGAGAUGACAGUCCAGCAUACGUCAGCCCCAGCAGCUCAUCAUACAAAAAGAAAGGAAGAACAACCUCUAAACUCAAGGAGCACAAAGCAGACAAGGACUGGAGAGGGAAGAAGAAAUACGAACACAGAGGCUCCUAAACGAUUGAGAAAGGAUAGUGCUGAAGAAGAUAAGGAAUUGAAGUGUGCAAGAAGCGGAAGCAACAAAAACAACAUUAGAAUCAAUGUUGGAGACAACAACAGAACCACAACCUCGACAAGUGCUAAUAGAAAGGCAUGGAACUUCGGAAGGCCAACAUACAAAUGCCAGUAUUGCAAAGCAUUGCUAUGGUGUGAAGAAAGAUUAAAUUCAAACAAAGGAACAAAGACACCCUCUUUUGGAAUAUGCUGCAAACAGGGAAAAAUCGAUCUGCCACCACUAAGAGAGCCUCCACCAUACCUCAGAAACCUCUUAAGAAGUGAAGGACAGGAUUCAGUAAACUUCAAAGAAAAUAUAAGGUCAUACAACUCAAUGUUUUCAUUCACAUCCAUGGGAGGAGUUGUGGACAAGGAAAUAAACACUCACAAAGGACCUUAUGUUUUUCGUUUGCAUGGACAGAACUACCACCACAUCGGAACUCUUUUACCUGAAGGUACAGACAAACCUCGGUUUGCACAGCUGUACAUCUAUAAUACUGAAAAUGAGGUGGCAAACAGGAUAAGUGCGUCAAGAUGCAAUGAUAAUAAAUCAACAGUGGACCCCAACAUUGUCAAAGAAUUGCAAAUAAUGCUUGACGACAACAACAUCCUCGCAAAAACAUUCAGAAUGGCAAGAGAUAGAUUCCAAGAAGGAGACUACCAUGAUUACACACUUCGGAUACUAGGAAAAAGGAACGGAACACACAACCUUCCAUCCGCAUCUGAAGUUGCAGCAUUGGUAGUAAGAGAUCCAACUGGAGAGAGUGAAGGACGUGACAUUGUUGUUGAGUACAAAAAUAUGGUGCCACAAAGGAUAUCAGAGAUCCACCCGAAAUUCAUGUCCAUGCAAUAUCCUUUGUUGUUCCCAUAUGGAGAAGAUGGUUUUAAACUUGAGAUACCGUACAAGAAAACAAAAGGAGCUAAAAACAGCAGGAAAUACGUAACGUUGUUGGACUACUAUGCAUUCUACCUACAGCAACGUCCAGACCAAGGAAUGUUAUUGCUCAAGUCUGGGCAUCUGUCACUGCAAUUUUGGGUGGAUGUAUACACAUGUAUCGAGCAAAAUAGACUAAACUGGAUCCGACACAAUCAAGGAAAGCUAAGAACUGAACUUUACAGUGGAUUGCAGGAUGCAAUUAAGCGAGGGGACACAAGAACAGAGCAGGUUGGAAAGAGGAUAAUUGUGCCUUCAUCUUUUACAGGUGGUAGAAGAAACAAGGCACAAUACUUGCAAGAUGCAUUCGCGAUAUGUCGUUGGGCUGGAUACCCAGACCUGUUUAUAACAUUCACAUGCAAUGCAAAGUGGCCUGAGAUCCAAUACAUGCUAGAUGAAGCGGGAGGUGGCCAAAAGCCAGCCGAUCGGCCAGAUAUUUUGGACAGAGUAUUUAUGAUAAAACUAAAGGAGCUAAUGAGAGACAUAAAAGAAAAGAAAUACUUUGGAGAAACACUUGCAAGUAAGUCCCAUCAACUAUCAAUAUUUACUCUUUCAUGCGUCAUCUUAUAGUCAGACAAUUCUUACCCUUUAGUAAGAUGCAUUUCAAUUUUACCUAAAUUUAACAAACUAUUAUUAACCAACUGCAGUUAUCUACACAAUAGAAUUCCAGAGGAGAGGACUCCCGCAUGCCCACAUACUAAUAUUUCUGAAGGACAAAGACAAGUACCCAGAACCAUCGCAAAUCGAUAAAAUAAUAAGCGCUGAGAUCCCAAACAAGGACGAGGAUCCUGAGGCAUUUGGAGCUGUCGAGAACUUCAUGAUGCAUGGCCCAUGUGGAGAGGCUAAGCAAAACUCACCAUGCAUGGUGAGCCAUAGAUGCAGCAAGCAUUUCCCAAAAAGAUACAAUGUUAGUACUACCAUCGACGAGGACGGGUUUCCAGUAUAUAAAAGGAAGGACGACGGAAGGCAAAUCAAAAAGGAAGUGGUCAUGCUCGACAACAGAUUUGUCGUGCCAUACAACCGAGAUCUUCUGGUCAAAUUUCAAGCUCACAUAAAUGUCGAAUGGUGCAAUAGGUCUAGAUCAAUCAAGUACCUAUAUAAGUAUAUCGACAAAGACGACGAUCAAGUUACAACCUUGCUCAAGGAAGGGCUCACAGCAAACGAAACUGACGAGAUCAAGAAAUACCUAGAGAUGAGAUACAUAUCAACAUCAGAAGCAUGCUGGAGGAUAUUCCAGUUUGAUCUUCACUAUCGUGAUCCAGCCGUUGAGAGGCUACCUUUCCAUCUUGAAAAUGAGCAGCAAGUGAUUUUUCCUGACUCGACUGAUCUUGACAAGAUAGUUACAAGGGAAGGAUCUAAAAGUACCAAGUUCAUUCAAUGGAUGGAGGCAAAUAAAAUAUAUGAGCUAGGGAAAGAAUUAACGUAUGCAGAAUUCCCUACAAAAUUUGUAUGGAAACGUGAAACAAAAUGUUGGCAGAAGCGAAAAAGGGACUAUGCAAUUGGAAGAAUCUACUAUGCACAUCCCGCAAGUGGUGAGCGACAUUAUCUGAGGAUGCUUCUAAACACCAAGAAAGGAUGCACAUCAUUUGAGGACAUUAGGACCAUUGAUGGAGUCACUCACCCAACGUACAAAUCAGCAUGCCAAGCCCUUGGAUUUCUGGAUGAUGACACUGAGUGGAUUGACUGUAUCAAUGAAGCAUCAAGUUGGGCAUCAGGAGCACAACUGCGUCAGUUAUUCACCACCAUAUUGUCCCAUUGCGAAGUCACAAACCCAAAGAUAUUGUGGGGUUCAACAUGGGAGGCAUUGUGUGAAGAUAUGCAAUACAAAAGAAGGAUUAUUCUAAACAUUCCAACGCUUCAGCUCACCAACACACAGAAACAAGCGUAUGGUCUGAUUGAGAUAGAAAAACUGAUGAGGCAAGUAGGAAAGUCAUUAAAGGAAUAUACAGAGAUAGAGCUACCAAAUGCUGCAGAGCUAGAUGAACUUGGGAACAGACUAAUAAACGAAGAGGUCAACUACGACAUGGAGAAACUCAAGGAUGAGCACAAAACCAUACUAAACAAUCUUAACCAAGACCAGAAGAAAGCCUUUGAUAAAAUAAUGGAAUCCGUCAACAAAGGGCUAGGAAAGCAGAUAUUUGUCGAAGGCUACAGUGGCACAGGAAAAACCUAUCUAUGGAAAGCACUAACGACAAAGCUAAGAUCAGAGGGGAAGAUAGUGCUUGCGGUGGCAUCAUGUGGCAUUGCAGCGUUGCUUCUCCAAGGUGGAAGAACAGCACACUCAAGGUUCCGCAUUCCACUUAAUAUAACUGAAGAAUCAACGUGUGAAAUAAAACAAGGCUCACAUUUGGCUGAACUACUAAAGAAGACCUCACUUAUAUUGUGGGACGAAGCUCCUAUGGCAAACAAACACUGCUUUGAGGCACUAGACAAAAGCCUUAGAGAUAUUCUCAGGUUCACUAACGAAAACAGCGACGAAAAGCCAUUUGGUGGAAUGACAAUUAUACUAGGAGGCGACUUCAGACAAAUCCUACCGGUUAUAACCAAAGUAAGGAGAGAACAAAUAGUUAAUGCUACAAUCAAAAGGUCAUAUCUGUGGAAACACUUUGAAAUAUUUGAGUUAACACAAAACAUGCGGCUGAAGUGUUUGUCAGAUGAUCCAAUACAAAAGCAAAAGGUCGCCGAAUUUGCAGAGUGGAUACUACAAAUUGGCGAUGGGAAAACAGCAUCAGAUGAAGGAGAGGAUUGGAUAAAAAUACCAAAGGACCUACUGCUACAGAAAGGAGAAAAUCAUAAAGAACUAAUCGUCGAAAGCAUAUAUCCAAACUUGCUGCAAAAAUACCGUGAGCGGGAUUACCUAGAAGAAAGAGCAAUACUCUGUCCAAGAAAUGAUACAGUCAAGGAGAUAAACGACCACAUCAUGAGCCAAAUACAAGGUGAUGAGGUGACAUACCUAAGCCUGGACACCGUGUGCAAGGCAACGACAAACACCAAUAUCAUGAUGAACAUGCAGCCUACUGAAUUCCUAAACACCUUGACAUCCCCAGGAAUCCCAGACCAUGAGCUAAAACUCAAAGUGGGUUUGCCGGUCAUGCUCCUGCGCAACAUCAACCAAGCAGCGGGUUUAUGCAACGGUACAAGAAUGACAAUAACACAACUUGGAAACAAAUACAUCGAGACACAAAUAAUCACAGGAACACACAUCGGUGACAAGGUAUACGUACCUCGAAUAAUCAUGUCACCCAGCGACUCAAAAUGGCCAUUCGUGCUGAAAAGAAGGCAAUAUCCAUUAUCAGUGUGCUUCGCAAUGACGAUAAACAAGAGCCAAGGUCAGUCCUUAAACAAGGUAGGAAUAUAUUUGCCUAAGCAAGUGUUCUGCCACGGACAACUGUAUGUGGCAUUAUCAAGAGUGACAAACAAGGAAGGAUUGAAGGUGCUGAUCAAUGACAAAGAGUGUCCAACUGAAGAUGUCGCAAAAAAUAUUGUUUAUAAAGAGAUAUUCUAAUUUACAGUGCAGUUGAUCAAGACAAUCUUCCCGCAAAAAAUAAGACAACCUAACCACAUGUUAUCAACAAAAUAUGUACUUGGUGGGUGUGUUCAUUUUACGUAGCUAAUCAGCAUAUAUAUGUUUGAUCUCUCCACACAAUAUUACUUUUUUUGUUUAUUAGUUACUUAUCCCUGAAUAAUUUCUAUCUCUCUUCUAUCGUCUUUAAAAGAAACUGAAGGAUAAAAAUCUUUAGGUAGCUACAUGCAGUACUAUAUUUGAUCGUUCUGGAGAAAGUUCACCAAUGAAUUCCACCUAAUUAGCGAUUACUAAUCUCUCUUGCACUAACAUUCUCAUCUCUCUUACGGUUUGUUUCUCUAAAAAAAUAGGCAUCAACGAAGCCUCCUCAACCAAAUAAAUGUAUGUGUACAUAUGUACUUUAAUCUUUCAACAAAAUAUACAAUUUCCCAUUCAUCAAUUCUGUAUCUAAAUCUUUAGUGUUUCCACAAAUAAGUUUUUUUGUACAUUAAUAUUUCUAUAAACUUGAGGAAUAAAUUGAAAGCGAAUAAUACAGAUCGUACCAUUUUUUUUAGAAUGGAUAUCAAAUUUAUUGAAUCUACCAUCAUCUCUCUCAUAUUAAGACGUCCAGAAGACAUGAUCCCCAACUCUAAGAUUCCCUCUAAUGAAUAGUCCCCAAAUCUCAAUCUCUAUUCUACCAGCUCCAUGAAAAAGUGGCUGCAGCCUGGAGAUCUAAAUAUCUAAUUUACUUAAUCUUGAGAGUGAUUGCGGCAUGACGAUUCUACCCAUCGAUUUAUAAUCUGGAAUGAAAUUUAGCUGAUGUGACAUGGAGAAAAAAUUAGGGAUUUUAAUACCUGUUCAGGCUCCGCCAAAUCCAUUCGGCCAAAGAGGUUGGGGGUGAUGCUGCGAUGUACAUCUUCCCUCUGCAUAACGUAUGGUUGGUGGCGGUACGCCACUGGGAGGAGCGAGCGACGGCGCAUCCUACAAAUAGUCCAUACAUGAAUAUCAACAGUAUGUAUGUAGAGGUUAUCUGCUAAGUAGAAAUUUUAACUGCAUAUAAUUUUAUAAGUAUCACCAGAUCUUAAAUUACUUAUAAAGAGAUUCAUACCUAUUGCUCUUCCUCCGCCUGACACACAACUGGCCCUUCAGCGCAACGCCGAAACUCUCUGCCUCGGCGCCUGUGGCCUCCCGGCGGCCGCCCUAUGUCUUUCCAGAUCAGCAACGGCGAGAUGCGGCCUCGCUGGUGGCCGGCGCCAGAACCGCAGCCCCAAAGGUCCCCGACUCGGCCAGACAUGGACUCGGAGAGAACACCCUUACAAGCUUUCCUCAUGCACGAGCAGCCCACUGAUUUGGAGACCAACACGCACGAGUUCUUCCGGAAAAUCCGCAACGCCUCCAUCACGCUGCGAACCCGGCGCCGCCGCCACGGCAGCUAGCCGCGGGCCAUUACUCGUUCCCUUUGCCCACCCCGUGGCCACGCCCGGCUUGGAAGAUCAGCACCACAGAAAACCAAAAGGGGAUAUUGUUCUAGUACUG
Molecule: long non-coding RNA, 6931 nt
Filed under: Triticum aestivum (bread wheat)
Lineage: Eukaryota; Viridiplantae; Streptophyta; Magnoliopsida; Poales; Poaceae
Description: long non-coding RNA (TAES_LNC020934)
Source: RNAcentral